UAGACGAUUUGUUUUCAAAACAAAAAGUGCAGGAUAUGCACCCCUUG
Molecule: transfer RNA, 47 nt
Filed under: Gyrodactylus salmonis
Lineage: Eukaryota; Metazoa; Platyhelminthes; Monogenea; Gyrodactylidea; Gyrodactylidae
Description: partial tRNA-Trp
Source: RNAcentral